GAUGAAGAACGUAGCGAAAUGCGAUAAGUAAUGUGAAUUGCAGAAUUCAGUGAAUCAUCGAAUCUUUGAACGCACAUUGCGCCCGCCAGUAUUCUGGCGGGCAUGCCUGUUCGAGCGUCAUUACAACCCUCAGGCCCCCAGUGCCUGGCGUUGGGGAUCGGCGCGGCGCCCUCCGGGGCGCUGCCGGCCCCGAAAUUCAGUGGCGGUCUCGCUGUAGCCCUCCUCCGCGUAGUAGCACAACCUCGCGGCCUGGAGCUCGGCGGUGGCCAUGCCGUAAAACACCCCACUUCUGAAAGUUGACCUCGGAUCAGGUAGGAAUACCCGCUGAACUUAAGCAUAUCAAUAAGCGGAGGA
RNAcentral lists this unclassified non-coding RNA (354 nucleotides) under soil metagenome. Its description in RNAcentral is "partial contains 5.8S ribosomal RNA, internal transcribed spacer 2, and large subunit ribosomal RNA". The stretch from base 1 to 120 matches the Rfam family "5.8S ribosomal RNA", at positions 35 to 154 of the family's 154-position model. The record is from RNAcentral.